RNAcentral lists this ribosomal RNA (425 nucleotides) under uncultured bacterium. RNAcentral describes it as "partial 16S ribosomal RNA". It matches the Rfam family "Bacterial small subunit ribosomal RNA", at positions 354 to 796 of the family's 1533-position model. The record is from RNAcentral.
GUGGGGAAUCUUGCGCAAUGGGCGAAAGCCUGACGCAGCCAUGCCGCGUGAAUGAUGAAGGUCUUAGGAUUGUAAAAUUCUUUCACCGGGGACGAUAAUGACGGUACCCGGAGAAGAAGCCCCGGCUAACUUCGUGCCAGCAGCCGCGGUAAUACGAAGGGGGCUAGCGUUGCUCGGAAUUACUGGGCGUAAAGGGAGCGUAGGCGGACAUUUAAGUCAGGGGUGAAAUCCCGAGGCUCAACCUCGGAACUGCCUUUGAUACUGGGUGUCUUGAGUGUGAGAGAGGUGAGUGGAACUCCGAGUGUAGAGGUGAAAUUCGUAGAUAUUCGGAAGAACACCAGUGGCGAAGGCGACUCACUGGCUCAUUACUGACGCUGAGGCUCGAAAGCGUGGGGAGCAAACAGGAUUAGAAACCCCAGUAGUCC